RNAcentral lists this transfer RNA (73 nucleotides) under Felis catus (domestic cat). It matches the Rfam family "tRNA". Rfam says of the family: Transfer RNA (tRNA) molecules are approximately 80 nucleotides in length. Their secondary structure includes four short double-helical elements and three loops (D, anti-codon, and T loops). Further hydrogen bonds mediate the characteristic L-shaped molecular structure. tRNAs have two regions of fundamental functional importance: the anti-codon, which is responsible for specific mRNA codon recognition, and the 3' end, to which the tRNAs corresponding amino acid is attached (by aminoacyl-tRNA synthetases). tRNAs cope with the degeneracy of the genetic code in two manners: having more than one tRNA (with a specific anti-codon) for a particular amino acid; and 'wobble' base-pairing, i.e. permitting non-standard base-pairing at the 3rd anti-codon position. Lineage: Eukaryota; Metazoa; Chordata; Mammalia; Carnivora; Felidae. The record is from Rfam by way of RNAcentral. RNAcentral also lists the same sequence under 5 other names.
UCCUGGCUGGCUCAUUCAGUAGAGUGUAUGACUCUUGAUCUUGGGGUUGUGGGUUCAAGCCCCACGUUGGAUG